ACAUCCAGCGAACUUGGCAGAGAUGCCUUGGUGCCUUCGGGAACGCUGAGACAGGUGCUGCAUGGCUGUCGUCAGCUCGUGUUGUGAAAUGUUGGGUUAAGUCCCGNAACGAGCGCAACCCUUAUCCUUUGUUGCCAGCGAUUCGGUCGGGAACUCAAAGGAGACUGCCGGUGAUAAACCGGAGGAAGGUGGGGAUGACGUCAAGUCAUCAUGGCCCUUACGAGUAGGGCUACACACGUGCUACAAUGGCGCAUACAAAGAGAAGCGACCUCGCGAGAGCAAGCGGACCUCAUAAAGUGCGCCGUAGUCCGGAUCGGAGUCUGCAACUCGACUCCGUGAAGUCGGAAUCGCUAGUAAUCGUGGAUCAGAAUGCCACGGUGAAUACGUUCCCGGGCCUUGUACACACCGCCCGUCACACCAUGGGAGUGGGUUGCAAAAGAAGUAGGUAGCUUAACCUUCGGGAGGGCGCUUACCACUUUGUGAUUCAUGACUGGGGUGAAGUCGUAACAAGGUAGGCGUAGCGAG
Molecule: ribosomal RNA, 525 nt
Filed under: uncultured bacterium
Lineage: Bacteria
Description: bacterial SSU rRNA
Rfam family: Bacterial small subunit ribosomal RNA
Source: RNAcentral